Molecule: unclassified non-coding RNA, 68 nt
Filed under: Hyunsoonleella jejuensis
Lineage: Bacteria; Pseudomonadati; Bacteroidota; Flavobacteriia; Flavobacteriales; Flavobacteriaceae
Description: Flavo-1 RNA
Source: RNAcentral
UAGGGAUUGCAGUGGAAAGCCCACAGGGAGGUACGACCGAGGACUUGGAACGUAAAGCCCGACCCCGC